Small nucleolar RNA from Mastomys coucha (southern multimammate mouse), 130 nucleotides. RefSeq annotates it as small nucleolar RNA SNORA17. The record is from RefSeq and is a predicted model, not a curated record. Lineage: Eukaryota; Metazoa; Chordata; Mammalia; Rodentia; Muridae. The transcript has a single exon.
UCUGCCCCAGAGGUGUUGCAGGCAUGGCUGCUGUGUCACAUGUGUGUCAGUAGGUGGCAUAGAGGAGAGAGGCUGUGUCCACACUCAGUGUUCUGAACUCUGAACGUCCAAUGAUUAGUAGCCUAACACC